GAUGAACGCUGACAGAAUGCUUAACACAUGCAAGUCUACUUGAAUUCACUUCGGUGAUAGUAAGGUGGCGGACGGGUGAGUAACACGUAAAGAACUUGCCUUACAGUCUGGGACAACUAUUGGAAACGAUAGCUAAUACCGGAUAUUAUGAAUUUUCCGCAUGGAAGAUUUAUGAAAGCUAUAUGCGCUGUAAGAGAGCUUUGCGCUCCAUUAGCUAGUUGGUGAGGUAACAGCUCACCAAGGCGACGAUGGAUAGCCGGCCUGAGAGGGUGAACGGCCACAAGGGGACUGAGACACGGCCCUUACUCCUACGGGAGGCAGCAGUGGGGAAUAUUGGACAAUGGACCAAAAGUCUGAUCCAGCAAUUCUGUGUGCACGAUGACGGUCUUCGGAUUGUAAAGUGCUUUCAGUUGGGAAGAAAGAAAUGACGGUACCAACAGAAGAAGCGACGGCUAAAUACGUGCCAGCAGCCGCGGUAAUACGUAUGUCGCAAGCGUUAUCCGGAUUUAUUGGGCGUAAAGCGCGUCUAGGUGGUUUGAUAAGUCUGAUGUGAAAAUGCGGAGCUCAACUCCGUAUUGCGUUGGAAACUGUCAAACUAGAGUAUCGGAGAGGUGGGCGGAACUACAAGUGUAGAGGUGAAAUUCGUAGAUAUUUGUAGGAAUGCCGAUAGAGAAGUCAGCUCACUGGACGAAUACUGACACUGAAGCGCGAAAGCAUGGGGAGCAAACAGGAUUAGAUACCCUGGUAGUCCAUGCCGUAAACGAUGAUUACUAAGCGUCGGGGGUCGAACCUCGGCACUCAAGCUAACGCGAUAAGUAAUCCGCCUGGGGAGUACGUACGCAAGUAUGAAACUCAAAGGAAUUGACGGGGACCCGCACAAGUGGUGGAGCAUGUGGUUUAAUUCGACGCAACGCGAGGAACCUUACCAGCGUUUGACAUCCUAAGAUGAG
This 950-nucleotide ribosomal RNA is filed under the name uncultured bacterium. RNAcentral's name for it is "bacterial SSU rRNA". It matches the Rfam family "Bacterial small subunit ribosomal RNA", at positions 28 to 998 of the family's 1533-position model. The record is from RNAcentral.